RNAcentral lists this ribosomal RNA (467 nucleotides) under uncultured bacterium. RNAcentral's name for it is "partial 16S ribosomal RNA". It matches the Rfam family "Bacterial small subunit ribosomal RNA", at positions 28 to 507 of the family's 1533-position model. The record is from RNAcentral.
GAUGAACGCUGGCGGCGUGCUUAACACAUGCAAGUCGAACGGAAAGGCCCAAGCUUGCUUGGGUACUCGAGUGGCGAACGGGUGAGUAACACGUGGGUGAUCUGCCCUGCACUUCGGGAUAAGCCUGGGAAACUGGGUCUAAUACCGGAUAGGACCACUUCUUGGAUGUUGUGGUGGAAAGUUUUUUCGGUGUGGGAUGAGCUCGCGGCCUAUCAGCUUGUUGGUGGGGUAAUGGCCUACCAAGGCGUCGACGGGUAGCCGGCCUGAGAGGGUGUACGGCCACAUUGGGACUGAGAUACGGCCCAGACUCCUACGGGAGGCAGCAGUGGGGAAUAUUGCACAAUGGGCGCAAGCCUGAUGCAGCGACGCCGCGUGGGGGAUGACGGCCUUCGGGUUGUAAACUCCUUUCGCUAGGGACGAAGCGUUUUGUGACGGUACCUGGAGAAGAAGCACCGGCUAGCUACGUG